This 377-nucleotide ribosomal RNA is filed under the name uncultured bacterium. RNAcentral's name for it is "bacterial SSU rRNA". It matches the Rfam family "Bacterial small subunit ribosomal RNA", at positions 30 to 407 of the family's 1533-position model. The record is from RNAcentral.
AUUGAACGCUGGCGGCAUGCCUUACACAUGCAAGUCGAACGGCAGCACGGGAGCAAUCCUGGUGGCGAGUGGCGAACGGGUGAGUAAUAUAUCGGAACGUGCCCAGUCGUGGGGGAUAACGUAGCGAAAGCUACGCUAAUACCGCAUACGAUCUAUGGAUGAAAGCGGGGGAUCGCAAGACCUCGCGCGAUUGGAGCGGCCGAUAUCAGAUUAGCUAGUUGGUGAGGUAAAGGCUCACCAAGGCGACGAUCUGUAGCGGGUCUGAGAGGAUGAUCCGCCACACUGGAACUGAGACACGGUCCAGACUCCUACGGGAGGCAGCAGUGGGGAAUUUUGGACAAUGGGCGCAAGCCUGAUCCAGCCAUGCCGCGUGAGUG